Gopherus evgoodei (Goodes thornscrub tortoise) is the source of this 1262-nucleotide long non-coding RNA. RefSeq lists it as uncharacterized. The transcript is spliced from 5 exons. The record is from RefSeq and is a predicted model, not a curated record. Lineage: Eukaryota; Metazoa; Chordata; Testudines; Testudinidae.
CACAAAUCCAAGCCCCCUGCCUCAGGGACUAUCCCUGCAAGAGCCUGGGAAGCAGCCUAGGGCGCUUGAGUUGCGGAUGCAGUGCGGUAUCAACAGUCACCCUUAAGUACAUAUACGUAAAAAUGAGAGCCUCCCCAAACCUGAUGGAAGGGCUCUACCACCUCUGCCUGGGAGCUCUGGGCCACGUCAGUUCUACGCCCAGCGAGCCCCCUCCUUCCCGCCCUCUCCACGUUUCCUAGUCUCUCUUCCCUGCCUUUCCAGCUUCCAAGGACCUCCCUUCCAAUAGUGCUCACCCCAGCCUUUCUUCCUGCUAUAUCAGGCAGCCCAAAGCAGCAGCCAUCUUCCCUGACAGUCAAUUGCCUUCAUUCGCCGUUGGAACGAAUGGAGGAAAUAAAAGAUCCUAAGAUACCAAACAAAAGAUCUAUGAAUGGGAAAGAGAAAUUCACAGAAGUAAUAUUACCAAAGGAGAAAACAAACCCAGGACACGAGCUUUAUGGCAAUUCAGGAAUACAGUGUCAGUAUUAUGCUUUCUGAGGCCCUAACCCUGCAAUUGCAUCUGUAUGGGCAGACAAUUACACUUGCAUGGAGCCCCACUGAAGACAAUGAGGCUAUAUGUGGAUGCAGCAGUCUCCCAGAGCAGAACAAACUGAAGAAGGGCCCAGUUGUUGUCCUUUGUCAAUGGAGACCAAAGUUCAGAGGUGCUUUUGUGUGAGUUCACCUCGUGGGAGGUUGAAGGCACCUUGUCCAUUCCUCUAGCUGCUCGCCGCUCUCUCCAGUCGCUCUCCGCUGUUCAUCAUGCCACAGUUCACUCCACUGCUCCGUCGCUGCUGGCCCUGCGCCAUCACCUUCUGCUCCCACCUGCCACUGUGACCUUGAUGAAAACAGCAAGCUGUGUGGACUUAAAAAAUGAUUCUUGGAAUAAAACCAAAAAGGAAGUUUGGUCUCCUUUUUUUUUUAUCCAGACUGGCUACCCUCUUCCACACCAAAAUUCAUUCAAAAGGCUCCAUGUCAAGAAGUAACACCAUCACAACAACUGUUAAAGUAUUAGGGCCUAAACCCUUACUUAUUUACACGAGUAAUUCCUCUGAUUUCAAUAACACUAUCUUUGUGAGUAUGGCAUACCUGCAGGGCCAUCCCUAGAUGGGCGUGGGGCCUGAGGCAAAUCAGCCUGUAUGGGACCCCCUUAACAUUUUUUAUACAGGUGAAAUCUGGUUACAGUGAACUUCAAGGGCAGCUGCUGGCCGCAGGUUAAAUAUUGAUAG